GAAAUGCGAUAAGUAAUGUGAAUUGCAGAAUUCAGUGAAUCAUCGAAUCUUUGAACGCACAUUGCGCCUAUUAGUAUUCUAGUAGGCAUGCCUAUUCGAGCGUCAUUUCAACCCUUACGCCUAGCGUAGUGUUGGGAGAUUACCCUGUGGUAACUCCCCAAAACCAUUGGCAGAGUCAGUGAAACCUCUGAGCGCAGUAACUUAUACCACGCUUCUGUAGUGACGCUGGCGCUCGCCACAAAGCCUCUAUUUCUCAAUGGUUGACCUCGGAUUAGGUAGGAAUACCCGCUGAACUUAA
Molecule: unclassified non-coding RNA, 298 nt
Filed under: uncultured Xylariales
Lineage: Eukaryota; Fungi; Ascomycota; Sordariomycetes; Xylariales
Description: sequence contains ITS1
Rfam family: 5.8S ribosomal RNA (bases 1-105)
Source: RNAcentral